CAAUAGCGUAUAUUAAAGUUGUUGCAGUUAAAAGCUCGUAGUUGGAUUUCUGAGAGAGUGCCAAUGUCCGCUGAGGCGUGUGCAGCGGCGCUCUCCCAUCCUUCUGUUAACGUUUCUUGGUAUUCAGUUACUGGUUUCGGGCUCAGAUAUUUUACCUUGAGAAAAUUAGAGUGUUUCAGGCAGGCUUUGCGCCGGAAUACAUUAGCAUGGAAUAAUAGAAUAGGACUUUUGUCUCUUUUGUUGGUUUGAGAGACUUGAGUAAUGAUUAAUAGGGAUAGUUGGGGGCGAUUAGUAUUUAAUUGUCAGAGGUGAAAUUCUCGGAUUUGUUAAAGACUAACUUAUGCGAAAGCAUUUGCCAAGGAUGUUUUCAUUAAUCAAGAACGAAAGUUAGGGGAGUCAAAGAUGAUUAGAUACCAU
RNAcentral lists this ribosomal RNA (417 nucleotides) under uncultured eukaryote. Its description in RNAcentral is "SSU rRNA". It matches the Rfam family "Eukaryotic small subunit ribosomal RNA", at positions 592 to 1018 of the family's 1831-position model. The record is from RNAcentral.